Molecule: ribosomal RNA, 423 nt
Filed under: uncultured bacterium
Lineage: Bacteria
Description: bacterial SSU rRNA
Rfam family: Bacterial small subunit ribosomal RNA
Source: RNAcentral
UAGGGAAUAUUGGGCAAUGGGUGAGAGCCUGACCCAGCCAUGCCGCGUGCAGGAAGACGGCCCUAUGGGUUGUAAACUGCUUUUGUAAGGGAAGAAAAAGGUCCUGCGGGACCAGUUGACGGUACCUUACGAAUAAGCACCGGCUAACUCCGUGCCAGCAGCCGCGGUAAUACGGAGGGUGCAAGCGUUGUCCGGAUUUAUUGGGUUUAAAGGGUACGUAGGCGGAUGCUUAAGUCAGUGGUGAAAGCCUGCGGCUUAACCGUAGGAUUGCCUCUGAUACUGAGUAUCUUGAGUGCGGUAGAGGUGGGCGGAAUUCAUGGUGUAGCGGUGAAAUGCAUAGAUACCAUGAGGAACACCGAUAGGGAAGCCAGCUCACUGGACCGUAACUGACGCUAAGGUACGAAAGCGUGGGGAGCCAACAGG